UCUGCGAUUUCUGCGACUUACCACCGUAUGAAAAAGUUACAUCUGUCAACACAGAAAAUUGCAUCUCAACAAACCUGUCAUUGGCAAGUACCUGACCUACAUUUCAGUCACUCAGUAAAGUGAUAACUCAAAAUAUCAUUGUCAACAGAUCUGAAGAAAUUGCCACUGCGUCUUUAGACCAUUUUCGUCAGACGAGAGACACAGUUCUGACUCUGAUUACUGGUUGCUGUACGUAUCUAUCCACAUCAAGGCUGUUUUUGAGAGAGACUCA
Molecule: long non-coding RNA, 271 nt
Organism: Schistocerca cancellata (South American locust)
Lineage: Eukaryota; Metazoa; Arthropoda; Insecta; Orthoptera; Acrididae
Exons: 3
Source: RefSeq, a predicted model, not a curated record